AUGCUUGUUGGGGGAGAUAGAAUAUGAGCUGGGUAUGAAAGAAUGAGGAGUAGAUAAGCUUCUGGCUUGGUGACUACUCGGCUUCCCCAUCACCCCCACCUGUAGUAGAGACCACUCUGGGCCAGUAACCAUGGCGAUAGGAGAAGACGUGAGCAGAUGGGAGCACUAUGUGCAGAACUUAAACAUCCUUGUGUUGGGGGGAGAGACAAGACUGGACUGGAAGAUACUGUGAAGUCCAGGAGGACCAAAACUGUGAAGAUACCAAAAGAUGACCAUCUAUAAGCCAAGAAGAAAGACCUCAGGAGAAAUCAAUCCUGCUGACACCUUGGU
Molecule: long non-coding RNA, 330 nt
Filed under: Homo sapiens (human)
Lineage: Eukaryota; Metazoa; Chordata; Mammalia; Primates; Hominidae
Description: HSALNT0300770
Source: RNAcentral